ACGAAGGGUGCAAGCGUUACUCGGAAUUAUUGGGCGUAAAGGGUGCGUAGGUGGUUUUUAAGUCUGCUGUGAAAUCCCCGGGCUCAACCUGGGAAUGGCAGUGGAUACUGGAAAGCUGGAGUGCGGUAGAGGGUAGUGGAAUUCCCGGUGUAGCAGUGAAAUGCGUAGAUAUGCGGAGGAACACCGAUGGGGAAGGCAAUCCCCUGGGCCUGCACUGACGCUCAUGCACGAAAGCGUGGGGAGCAAACAGGA
RNAcentral lists this ribosomal RNA (252 nucleotides) under uncultured prokaryote. Its description in RNAcentral is "partial 16S ribosomal RNA". It matches the Rfam family "Bacterial small subunit ribosomal RNA", at positions 525 to 777 of the family's 1533-position model. The record is from RNAcentral.